AAAAUCCUUAAGAUACCUUGUGAUUCCUUACAAUACCCUCAUUUUAUUUUCAAAAUUCAACUUCACUAACCUGACAACUUUUAAGCAGUUCUCACGUCUAAAAGUGACCAUUAACAAAGCUAUCAGCAGUCUGAACACAUGCAAGACCCACACACUGAACUAUGGUGUCGUUUUUAUACUCAUUUUGCCGCUUGAUCGCGUUGCCACUUUGUACCUGCAUAUAGCCUCCGGCCUUGGGGUUAAUUUGAAGGAUUCUUUAAUGCCCAGAGAAAAGAUACUUGAGAUUCAACUGAUUUUCUUAGAUCAUUAAUCCAAAUAUUAUGGUAACGGUAAGUAAUAUCUUUGAUAGUUAGCUAUUCCCCUAGAAGAGGGCCGCAGCCUCCUACUCUGUGGACUCACAGUCUCCUUUGAAAAUUAGAUGAGAGCUAUGUAUCCUCUUCCUGGAAAAAUGCGCAUGCACACAGGCAAAGUUCUACAGAAAAUUCCCAGAGGCCUCUGGACUCCCUGAAUCCCCAUUAGCAACCUCUAUAUCAGAAAAAGAGGAAUUUAUAGAGAAAUAGUAAACUGGCUGACUACGCGGUGUAGAGGGAGAUAAAGGAGGGAUGGACAGGAGAAAAGGAAGUUUCCCAUUCUGGGCCAGCCUUGUCCUAGACUUUCCCUAUUCUUUACUUUUCGCAGAAGCUCUGUGCACUACAUAUUAUUAUUUUUCCAUAGUCAAGGAAACUACGGUUCAGAGAGGCUAUGCAACCCCCAACAAAGCCAUCGUGCUGGAAAGUGGCAGAGGCAAAAUGCAAACCUGCUGUCUUGACUUUUUAAGUCCAAUGUACAUUUCCUUUAGCGCUAAGUCCGCUUACUGCUUUUUCAUCUUGGGACUUCUCAAGACAGAACUGAACCAUUAGACCAACCGCAUCUGCUAGACUGUGAACUCCCGGAGAGUAGGGUCCGUGUCCCAUUCAUUUGAUGUCUCUGGUGCCUGGCACGUAGAAGGCACUCUUUAAAGGAGAAUGGAAUGUAUAAAUUAACACACUGGGGCAACAAUCCCAUGGACAGUGGCAGAAGCUAUAUGCCUCUGUGUUGCCACAAGAUAAAAGUCCUUGUCACUAAAUAUUCCUUUAGAUGAGCACUGGGCGCAGACUUCAAUAUAUUGUAAAACAUACAUGGUAAAACUCUUUUGUGCAGAAACAGCGUUAAUCCUUUUGAAAAAUAAUCUAUUCAUAAACCACAAAGCACCUUUACAACAAUCUGCCUAAUAUUAUCAGGUCAACAACUAACAUCUUUUGGUAGUGAAUUACUGUAUCAUGGAAAACCAAAAUCAUGGAGAAAAUAAGUGCACAAAUUAGGACUAUUUCUAAAGAUACUUAAUUUUACAAAUUUCAUAAUAAGAACUUAAAUGCAUUUUUAUUUUUGCAAUAAUUGCUCCGAAGAUGAAAACUAAGGCACCAUUUCAAUGUAGUAAAGGUAAUUGCUGCAUUUACUGCUCAUGUCAUGUUGAUGUAUGAGUAUGUAUCAAAGGUCAUCCUUCUGUACUCAUACAUUAUCAAAUUUGAAAGCACAAUAUUUGAUUCUGACCAACCUUUAAACUGCCCACAAUGUGUGUGAAAAAUAGAUGGAGUUCUUCCUUGGGUUUGAGAAAAAAAUGAACCCAUGUUUCGGAAGCAGAAGGGUCAAGAAGCCAGCAGCAAGGUUAGAUGUCAGCACUAUGAAUCUCACAGUGUCUUCGCUUAUCAAUGAGGUCUAGUACAAUGAUCACAAGCUAAAAUUGCUGUACUAAUGAAGACAAAGGUCUAAAAAAUUAGAUAGCACGGGCCCUCUGACAGAGGGCAGUACCUUGUGGACAGUAAUGCAGAAAUACGGACAUAAAUCACUCUUGAGAGACAAUAAAACCUAUAAUGCACAAAUUGAAUUGUUUACAUGUCUAUCGGAGGCACCGUUAAAAACAGAAGCGUCGGGCACCACACCUCUUGUUGCUCAUCUGGAACGCAGCAGCCCCGAAUUCAGCCUAUUAGAAGGCCCAACCACAGGAGAUUGCCUUAUUGAGAAGAGAGAUCAUACAAACACGUGAAAAGAACCCAAGUCUUCAAACACCAAAAGAAAAAAGUGUUCUGGAAAGAAUUCACAACAUCCUCCCCAAACAUGUCUCAAGCAUACCAGUUUUAUUUCAGCCUGUGUUCAGUUUAUUUUUUUUUAAUUUACUGCAUCCUAUUCUGAAAAUUUAUGUAUUCUUUGGCUGUGCGAACACUCAUAAUUGAGCAUACAAGUUCAUUCCAAAAUUUGGCUCCUUUUUGUUCCUAGGAAAAAGAUUUUUUAGAAAGCAAACCACUAUAAUUUAAUAAAAUGGGUCAACGCUUGGCAGGUUGGCAAAGUCUUUAGAAUUCUUGCUAUAGACAGUAAGGCACAAGUAGCCUGUUUCAUUAUUAUAAAAAAAUAAUGAAUAACUUAGCUGCCUAUAAUUCAUAAAAUAUACCACACUAGAGCAAGUUUUAAUUACACUUGCCAUGUACAGUAUACAUUGCCUUUUAAUGGUUUUUUGAGUAAGUACUCAACUUUAAG
This is a long non-coding RNA of Equus caballus (horse), 2550 nucleotides long. The record is from Ensembl. NCBI's taxonomy places the organism in Eukaryota, Metazoa, Chordata, Mammalia, Perissodactyla, Equidae.